Molecule: long non-coding RNA, 493 nt
Organism: Brassica rapa (field mustard)
Lineage: Eukaryota; Viridiplantae; Streptophyta; Magnoliopsida; Brassicales; Brassicaceae
Source: RefSeq, a predicted model, not a curated record
AAACCAUCUUCUAGGUCGGUUUGAUUAAACUUGUCUACUACUGGUUAGGGGCAGCCGCAAGGUCGGUUUCUGAUUAAAUUUUGCUCGUUUCUCAUCAAUCUUUGUAUUGGUUUGAUGUUUAGAAUUGUUGUUCUCAUUGGUUAAUGUAGGAUGUGAAGUGCCAAGGCUGCUUUAAUUAACAUUACGACGGUGUUCAGCCACUCGCAGACGGUUGUGGUAUGUGGAAACUGCCAGAGCGUGCUGUGCCAACCCACAGGAGGAAAGGCAAGGCUCACUGAAGGUUGCUCUUUCAGGAAAAAGUGAACAAGAUAUGACUCUCCACUCUCUCAGUCAGCAACAUCUUUUCUUUUAGUUCCUUUCUUCAUUCGUAAUUUCCUUUUGUCAAUUUUGGAUGAGUUUUUGAGCUAGUAUAAACCUUAACAACUUGACUUUUUGAAGCAUGUAAUCCUGGAAUUAAGUUAAAGUUUGCUAAUUUCUCAGUAUGCUUAUUAUA